This is a long non-coding RNA of Folsomia candida, 1242 nucleotides long. RefSeq lists it as uncharacterized. The transcript has 2 exons. The record is from RefSeq and is a predicted model, not a curated record. NCBI's taxonomy places the organism in Eukaryota, Metazoa, Arthropoda, Collembola, Entomobryomorpha, Isotomidae.
UUGUAAAAUUAUGUUAUAAAAUUUUAGAAAAUUACCAAGGACUGCGUGAAUUGCCUUACUGUUUAUCUAUUAAGAAAAUUUGGUUUUAAUCUUGUUUUUUAUUUAGAUACAAAAAAAAACAGUAGAAAUCUCGUCUUUUUUAGCAAAAUCCAUGUUCUUCGUAAUAGGAAAUAAAAGACCUAAAUUUCCAAUUUUCAGACAAAAAUUCCCGAUUUUUUUCAACAUAAAAAUUCCGAAGUGGAACAAACGCUUAGGAAUAUGCAAACUAUUUAUUACUGCUAAAUUAAGCACGUACCAAUUGUUUUCAGAUUUAUCAAAGUUCUUGCACCCAUUUACGACUCGUGACAAAACAAUGUGACCAAGGGAAUGCGAUGACCUCAUUAAACGGGAUCGAAAUCCUUAUCGCUACCGAAUUACGGGAUAGAGCAUCACUCUCCGGCAUUAGGGGUGGACCAUUUAGCACCAUUUCGUACUCUUUUUUCGCCUCGCUGCUCAGCAUUUUCUUGACGAACACCUUGAUUGCCGUGCAGCUAAAAAGUGCUCAUUCACAAUGAUCUCGGAAUUCAUAAAUCUGUUUAUAAAUUCGAAUAAAAUAAUUGUUCAUAAUCGUAUAACGUGUUCUUAAAAUAUGGAAAUUCGUGUCAUCUCUUUUUAUAUACAAUUUAAAACUUGCUAGAAUGACAUCACGUCAUUAAUUAUAUUUAUUUUUCUGCUAUUUCCUUAAUAUGAUUAAGAUUUUGUUUUAAUUUAAAUCUAGGCAACUUUCCAAAAUCCUUCUUGACUUAGAAAUUGAGUCUAAAUUUACAAUUUUAGAGGACGAAUUUGGCCGAAAAAUUUUGUUUUGAAAAUUUUUUAACACGAAUCAUUUUAUGAUUAUCUAAGUUGCAUAUGAACACAAUGCUAAUUGCAGAAAGUGAUAAAUAGUGAAUUAAUUACAAAACGGAUAUUUUUUGUACUGUGCAUGUUAAUUUUAUCGAAGUAUCUUAAUAUUAGAAUUUUAAGAUUUCUUACAUAAAAUUACUUGGUAUCAUUUUUCUAAUCCAAUUUUUGACAAAGUUUUAUUUGUAUUAUCUUAAAAUAAUUUUACGGAAUUGUUAAUUCUACAAUUUUUUCGAAUCGGCAUCAAACUUUGGCUAAUAUUAUAUUAAUUUAUAAUUUCCUCAGGCAAAAUUGUUAACUUUUUGAGGUACAACAACUUUUGUAGUUUAGUGGCAGUUUAGUAAACUGAAGAGUUUCGCAUGA